GAAGAAACAGUGGUUUGAGACGUGGAAGAAAGCUUUUAGUCAACGAUGGACGCAGGUAAAAGGGGAGGCAGCGUUGAACAGAGGUGAAAGAAGUAUACUUAAUGGGAUCUGUGGGAAAGUUGGAGCUUGCUGUGAAAAAAUGUAAGAAUCUUCAUAAAACUGAAAAUAUGCACUUGGAGAUAAGAGAAAAAAUGAGGGAUUCGAAGAACUUGCCGAAGGAAAAGGAAAUACGCAAUAUUAAACAAUUAAAUCAACAAAUUCAACAACAAGGAAAAUGAAAAAACUACGCCUAACAGGUGAAGACAUCACAUAUAAAUACGACAAAAUAACAAAGCCAGCCUGCGUUCACAAAUUGUGGAAGAAUAUAUACGAUUAAGAGGACGAUAAAUAUAGGCAUAUAUCCACGCGGUAAAAAUUUUUUAUAU
Long non-coding RNA from Temnothorax curvispinosus, 425 nucleotides. RefSeq lists it as uncharacterized. The transcript has 3 exons. NCBI's taxonomy places the organism in Eukaryota, Metazoa, Arthropoda, Insecta, Hymenoptera, Formicidae. The record is from RefSeq and is a predicted model, not a curated record.